GUCCAACUCAAGUUGAUUGAUUUGUUGCCUGAUAGAAUAAUAAUUUACAUGAGUUAUGGAUUCUCAGGUUGAUUUCCAUUCCCUCCUAUCUCCCCCUUUGUAAUUCAAGAGAGACGUGGAUUAUCAUUUCUUACUACCUGUCAUCUUGGAACAAAUUAAUCAUUGUUCUUUCUUUAUCAAGUGGCAUGAUUUUUAUUUGUAAUACCCAUCACAGGAAUCCGUUAUUGUGAAUUGCAAAUGAUGAAAGUAAUAUCAAGCCAUGUCAGGGAGGAUGUGCAG
RNAcentral lists this unclassified non-coding RNA (279 nucleotides) under Hevea brasiliensis (rubber tree). Lineage: Eukaryota; Viridiplantae; Streptophyta; Magnoliopsida; Malpighiales; Euphorbiaceae. The record is from RNAcentral.